This 370-nucleotide ribosomal RNA is filed under the name uncultured bacterium. RNAcentral describes it as "bacterial SSU rRNA". It matches the Rfam family "Bacterial small subunit ribosomal RNA", at positions 29 to 426 of the family's 1533-position model. The record is from RNAcentral.
AAUGAACGCUGGCGGCAUGCCUAACACAUGCAAGUCGAACGAAGCCUUCGGGCUUAGUGGCGCACGGGUGCGUAACGCGUGGGAAUCUGCCCUUGGGUUCGGAAUAACAGUGGGAAACUACUGCUAAUACCGAAUGAUGUCGUAAGACCAAAGAUUUAUCGCCCAGGGGAUGAGCCCGCGUAGGAUUAGCUAGUUGGUGUGGUAAAGGCGCACCAAGGCGACGAUCCUUAGCUGGUCUGAGAGGAUGAUCAGCCACACUGGGACUGAGAACGGCCCAGACUCCUACGGGAGGCAGCAGUAGGGAAUUUUCCACAAUGGACGAAAGUCUGAUGGAGCAACGCCGCGUGCAGGAUGAAUGCCUUCGGGUUGU